CAUCUGCUAUGAUGAUACAUGAAAAAAUUCACAUGUCAGACUUCAGAGAUUUCGGUCUAUGAGAAGAAUAUUUCAUGUUUUCUGAGCUGACG
This is a small nucleolar RNA of Coffea eugenioides, 92 nucleotides long. RefSeq annotates it as small nucleolar RNA R64/Z200 family. The transcript has a single exon. NCBI's taxonomy places the organism in Eukaryota, Viridiplantae, Streptophyta, Magnoliopsida, Gentianales, Rubiaceae. The record is from RefSeq and is a predicted model, not a curated record.